Long non-coding RNA from Mauremys mutica (yellowpond turtle), 350 nucleotides. RefSeq lists it as uncharacterized. The record is from RefSeq and is a predicted model, not a curated record. The transcript has 3 exons. NCBI's taxonomy places the organism in Eukaryota, Metazoa, Chordata, Testudines, Geoemydidae.
CCGGUGGAGGUGAAAUCAGACUCAGACCCAUUUCUUACAGAGCCCAACAGCCGCAAGCAACUUUACAGUAACCAGCUGAGAUGUGCUGCUCAGUGUGACAGCUAGAGGCACCAACCCAGAUCACAACCCCACCGCGCCAGGGGCUGCACAGACCUAGUAAGAGACAGCCCCUGCCCCAACAAGCUGACAGUCGACGUAGCUCCCCAGAAGGAAAAAACUACAGUGAUCUGGCUGGAAGGCCAAGCCACUAAGCAGGUGCAAUCGAGUCCAGAGAGAGAGAGAGACGGUGACCAUUUGCAGGAGUGGGUAUAGACCAGCAGAGCGAAUCUCCAGGCGCAGCCACAAAGAGA